GACACUAUCCAGUGGGAUGAGAGGAAGACUGGACACCUUCAGUACUGUGUCUCUUCAGAGGAUCCUUCUUUACCGCUGGUUUGACUUGGUGUCGAAUGAGUGGUUGAUAGAGGAGUCCUGAAUGAGGCACAUUACCUGCAUUGUGAGGGAGCAUCAGUUACGGCACUAUGGCCAGUGUUGUGCAUGAACGUGUUCAAUGAACGGCAUUCAUUGAACAUGUUCAUAUUUUCCGUGAACGCUGAACUGAACGAAUCAGUUUACAAGUUAUGAACGUGAACGUGAGUGACGUUCGCUCUCGCGAGACUGAACGCUGCUCACGUUUUAUGACGGUUUUAAACUUUGCCGAUUACAGACUGGCGCUUCGAGUUCGGACGCUUCUGUUGAUGGUGGUUUGUUUAAACAUUUGAGAGAUUUAGAUGGGAACAACCACACGUUUUUAUGCAAAUUAUGCCCAACUGGUUUGAAAAAACAAGUCCGGACGUCAGGCACAUUUGCAUCCAAUUUGAAACGACACAUCGAGUUACACCUUCAAAGCAGUUUUAGGGAAUACCUUCAUCUUAAUGUGUGAACUGGCACCACACUGACUACGGCCAUGUGGCGCGUUUCCCUGACGGUGAUCCGGCUCUCAGGAUCCUCAUUGCUGAGGACCCAAGUGACUAGACCAGGCCAAGGGGACACCCAGUCACAGGAAGAAAUGUCACCGCAGUCUGAAGAUGCGUGUUUGAGUGUGUCAGUCCCCAUCCAGCCUUCCUCUGUGAGCCAUUGGGCUGAGAGUGGCUCAGAGAUGAUUCAGUGUCAACAUGAUUCAUCAUCCUAAGAGUAAACCACGCCUCUCAGGCAGGCAGAAGAGAUCGUGGGACACAUCACAGAAGGCCUCGAGAUAUCACAGGAGCUCUCCAUCAGUCUCCGGAGAUCGCAGGACACCCUCAAGACCACAGAAGCCCUCAAGGUGUCACAGAGGGCUUCAGAAAGCUCUUCUCUCUCCUCCAUCAAGACUAGGGGAUUGAGUCAUUAAGAGCUGUGGAAACUGGGAAAAGUAUCCAGAGACAUAAAGCCCCAGGGAAGUCCAGAGAAAGCUGGACCGGAAGAGUGAGAAAGACUCACAAGAACCACAGAGCCAACUGUGGCCAUAUUCACUGCAGGGGCAGGUGUGGGACAGCAGAGGCUCUGAGGGUUUGUGAAGUAAGCAUGUGGCAGUUCAGCCACGCCUGAUGAGAGGGCGGAGGGAUGGAGCCUAGUACUAAGGUGAAAGCCAGCACCCAUGCCAGACGUCUCAAAGGGUGUGGCAUGGGCUCUGGACUUGUCACCAGAAUGUUAUAGCUUCAAGUCCCAGCAGGUGUUUGAACAGGACAUUUGCUGAAUUGCUUACGUAGAGCCAGUUCAGAGUGUGCAGGUGCUGCACAGGUAAUUUUGCUUACAGGUUCAUGCCUUGCAAUGCAAUUAAUCCAUGAAUUGUGCCUAAAAUGUCUCUUAUUUCGUCAGCAGGAAAUUGAAUCCAUGGCAGUGCUCAGCUGGGGUGCCCUAACCCUCUACACAGGCUUGGGAACCAUCCCAAUAAAUUGCUUGAUAUUA
Molecule: long non-coding RNA, 1572 nt
Organism: Paramormyrops kingsleyae
Lineage: Eukaryota; Metazoa; Chordata; Actinopteri; Osteoglossiformes; Mormyridae
Source: RefSeq, a predicted model, not a curated record